This 540-nucleotide ribosomal RNA is filed under the name uncultured bacterium. RNAcentral describes it as "partial 16S ribosomal RNA". It matches the Rfam family "Bacterial small subunit ribosomal RNA", at positions 356 to 887 of the family's 1533-position model. The record is from RNAcentral.
UAGGAAUCUUCCACAAUGACGCAAGUCUGAUGGAGCAACGCCGCGUGAGUGAAGAAGGUUUUCGGACCGUAAAGCUCUGUUGUUGGUGAAGAAGGAUAGAGGUAGUAACUGGCCUUUUAUUUGACGGUAAUCAACCAGAAAGUCACGGCUAACUACGUGCCAGCAGCCGCGGUAAUACGUAGGUGGCAAGCGUUGUCCGGAUUUAUUGGGCGUAAAGCGAGCGCAGGCGGAAGAAUAAGUCUGAUGUGAAAGCCCUCGGCUUAACCGAGGAAUUGCAUCGGAAACUGUUUUCUUGAGUGCAGAAGAGGAGAGUAGAACUCCAUGUGUAGCGGUGGAAUGCGUAGAUAUAUGGAAGAAUACCAGUGGCGAAGGCGGCUCUCUGGUCUGCAACUGACGCUGAGGCUCGAAAGCAUGGGUAGCGAACAGGAUUAGAUACCCUGGUAGUCCAUGCCGUAAACGAUGAGUGCUAAGUGUUGGGAGGCUUCCGCCUCUCAGUGCUGCAGCUAACGCAUUAAGCACUCCGCCUGGGGGAGUACGACC